Molecule: transfer RNA, 66 nt
Filed under: Sympetrum pedemontanum
Lineage: Eukaryota; Metazoa; Arthropoda; Insecta; Odonata; Libellulidae
Description: tRNA-Leu
Source: RNAcentral
GAAUUUAAUUGUGUGAUCCAAUUUAAUUUGAGAAAUUUUAUCUUACUUUUUAUAAUUUUUUGUUUU